RNAcentral lists this ribosomal RNA (468 nucleotides) under uncultured bacterium. Its description in RNAcentral is "partial 16S ribosomal RNA". It matches the Rfam family "Bacterial small subunit ribosomal RNA", at positions 28 to 507 of the family's 1533-position model. The record is from RNAcentral.
GACGAACGCUGGCGGCGUGCUUAACACAUGCAAGUCGAACGGAAAGGCCCUGCUUUUGUGGGGUGCUCGAGUGGCGAACGGGUGAGUAACACGUGAGUAACCUGCCCUUGACUUUGGGAUAACUUCAGGAAACUGGGGCUAAUACCGGAUAGGAGCUCCUGCUGCAUGGUGGGGGUUGGAAAGUUUCGGCGGUUGGGGAUGGACUCGCGGCUUAUCAGCUUGUUCGUGGGGUAGUGGCUUACCAAGGCUUUGACGGGUAGCCGGCCUGAGAGGGUGACCGGCCACAUUGGGACUGAGAUACGGCCCAGACUCCUACGGGAGGCAGCAGUGGGGAAUAUUGCACAAUGGGCGGAAGCCUGAUGCAGCAACGCCGCGUGCGGGAUGACGGCCUUCGGGUUGUAAACCGCUUUCGCCUGUGACGAAGCGUGAGUGACGGUAAUGGGUAAAGAAGCACCGGCUAACUACGUG